This 2383-nucleotide long non-coding RNA is filed under the name Paramuricea clavata. The record is from RNAcentral. Lineage: Eukaryota; Metazoa; Cnidaria; Anthozoa; Malacalcyonacea; Plexauridae.
GUCAUUUUAAAUAUUUAAUACAUUUUUCUAAUAAUAAUCUAUACAGCCAUGAGGUAUAAUUGCAGUUUGAUUAAUUUCAAAACAACAUGUUCCAAACUAAUUUUAUUCAUUCUUAGUUUAUUUUCAUAAUACAUACAACCAACUUCACAGACUACGAUAUAUUUUGGAGUGUUUUUAGCCUUUUCUAUGAGCUUUAGCUAUGCGCUAGAAAGGAAAGCAGUUAGUUUCGAAGACUGUAACGCCAUUGUCUUUCAAAGUUAUUGUCAAAUUAACCAAACCAUUACCAAUUGCUUGACAAUCAACCGCUUACAUUUCUUUAGUCUUAAAUCGUUCUCAGAAACGUUUUUACAAAUAUAACAAGACGCUCUGUUGAGCGUUUAGUCGCUGGGGCUAUUAAAAUAAGGUCUUCUGCGCAGGGCUUCUGCGCUUAUUGCUCUCUCUUCUGAGAGCAGUGUAUAAGCGCAGAAGCCCUGGGUAUGAGGUUGAUAUCAUUUAUUGGAUUUAUCUGGCUUAGGCCAACUUCGAGGACACUGGAAACCAGGCUUAAACAAAUUUAUUGCAACUCCACAUUUUGACCCUUCAACUGAUUUUCUCAAAAAAUUUAAUGCCACCCCCCCCUUCUAGUAAAUUAUUUAUACUCAUGGGGUCAUGGCCCCACCUUUUGCCUCCCCCUCCCUCUUCCAUAAAUAAGGACUGGUCCCUAACUGCAGGAAAAAUAUGUGCACUUCACAGAACAUUUAUAACAAUUCAAAAUUUAUUACUUUUGCCUCAGGCUGGGUAACCACAACAGAAGUUGCCAAAUAGGCCCUUUGAAGGUAGCUUGCGUGUCAGGCUCGAUGCUUGAAAUAGAGCCUGUUAUACCCUGUGAGCAAAGUCCUCUCGUAUUUCUACUUGGCACGGCACGGAGAAGCGAGAGAGACUCUUCAGAACUUGUGUAUAAAUUCAUUUGAGCAUGCGCAAAGGUUGCUAAGCAACUGCCUAUUUCCCAGAAGAAGAUUUAAUAAGUAGUUUCCGGUUCGGAUCAAAACCGGCUAUAAAACUGGUAUCAAACCUGAAAUUACUCAUAAUUAUCCAAGUUUUUGGAUUGUUGGCUCCACAAAGAAUAUACACAAGUUCUGCAGAGUCUCUCUCGUGCUGAGAAGAAAUACGAGAGGACUUUGCCCACAGGGUAAGCCUGUUACUGAAGUCAAUAAAAAGAGGACAGUGAUUGGGAUGCACAAAAAUAACAACCAAUCAAAAUGGCGAUUGUUAAUCACGUAUCAGUCAAUUCCAGCAGUGCCCAUCUCCCCGAGGUAUUAGCCAUUUCUGGGAAGAAAAUGGCUAUGUCCACAAGCCAUUUGCAAUCAAAUUAAAUAUCAGUUUUCCAGCAAAUCUACGAAAUCCCCCAUGAUGGAAAAUGUCAAAAUCCUCACCUCAGGGCUAAAAAAUAUCGGCAAUAGCCCCACCCGCGUUAUUAGGAAAAGCUGCAAAGGCCCAGGGGUGGGAACUGCUGGAAUUAAUUGAUACAUUAGAUUAUCAAAGCUAAUUUAAAAUACGACAAUAACGGCCAACUUUUCCACCAAUAUCUCAAAACUAAAUAUUCCAAUUUUCAUCGAAUGGCCAGGAAUUACAUAUUAAAUAAUAAUAAUAACUGUUAUUGACUGCAGCAAAGGCAGUCAUUAACAUGCCCAAAAGUAGUUAAAGUACAAUUACAAGCACGGAAUAUCAUUACAUAAACAACAAUUUGGCAUUACCUUAAAAACAAAGCUACUGUAUUUAUUUCUGACCAAUGGGAAUUUUGCGUACGAAUCAUGUGCAUCAAUCCUUUUUACUGACCUCAGUAGCAGGCUUUAUUUCAGUAGCAGGCUUUAUUGUUUUCACCAUUGUGUUUAUACAAUCUUGCAAAUUUACUAGUAGGAAUUUCCAUUGUGUUUGCAGCCCUUACACUUCGUGUUUCAUUAUGGCAUCUUGACCUUGAAAGAGUCUAUUACUGUGGCUCCAACAUUUUCCCGUUCGGCGUUAGAAACACAAUACAUUGAUCAUAAAAUGACUGAAAUAUUACAGAUUUAAAAGCCUGACACCUAGCGGCAAAGUUUAAAUUUCACACAAGUAGUGAUGAAUGGUGAUCACUGUGGUUGUAUUUCGGUCUUGUUAGGCUACACCAUGUUCUUUUGACCACCCAUCCGUAACAGGAUUAUCUGCAUCAACAGCCGUAAAAAAAGCACCCAAAUAAACAGCAGUUUGCAAAUAUUAUUGUUGCGAUUUACAAAGGUUGCGGCCCGUUCCAACUUUGUAAAAUUGAAAAUUGUGAACUUUUGUCCUCUAUUUCAAGCUUGUAGCCCUCCAAGUUUACUCACAUAAAAUGACUUUCGCUUUAUAAAGUCUGUUUCAUCGGAAAACUUUU